RNAcentral lists this ribosomal RNA (427 nucleotides) under uncultured bacterium. RNAcentral's name for it is "bacterial SSU rRNA". It matches the Rfam family "Bacterial small subunit ribosomal RNA", at positions 354 to 796 of the family's 1533-position model. The record is from RNAcentral.
GUGAGGAAUAUUGCACAAUGGACGAAAGUCUGAUGCAGCGACGCCGCGUGGGUGAUGAAGGCCCUCGGGUCGUAAAACCCUUUUGGCAGGGACGAGUGAGGACGGUACCUGCAGAAUAAGUCUCGGCUAACUACGUGCCAGCAGCCGCGGUAAAACGUAGGAGGCGAGCGUUAUCCGGAUUUACUGGGCGUAAAGCGCGCGUAGGCGGUCGGGUAAGUCAGAUGUUAAAGCCCCUGGCUCAACUGGGGGAGGUCAUUUGAUACUGCUCGGCUUGAGGGUGAGAGAGGAGAGCGGAAUUCCCGGUGUAGCGGUGGAAUGCGUAGAGAUCGGGAGGAACACCAGUGGCGAAAGCGGCUCUCUGGCUCAUCUCUGACGCUGAGUGCGCGAAAGCGUGGGGAGCAAACGGGAUUAGAAACCCCAGUAGUCC